AAAGAAAGAAGUAGACCAAAAUAUGAAGACAGAAGUCUGAGGUUCACAUGUGAAUCUAUUUCAAACAGUUAGAGAAGUUACCACUCUUAGUUUAGGUUGCUGGGGGUACUAUCCACACAAUUAACCAAGGCCAUGGCUUUUAUGAAGAUUUCAUUAUCAGCUUUUGAUGAAAAAUCAUCUAGUAAAGUCUCCUGUGGUUAUUCAAGCUAAAAUGACAUGGGAAAUACAGGGAAGAAAAUGACAGGCACUCACACAAGUUCUGACAGAGCUGAAGAGUGAUAAAAUUAUUAGAUACUAGAAUGUCUCAGUGAUAUAAUUGCCUCCUCCCAGGCUUUGCAGCACUUGUCCCUGUGCUGUCUCUCUCCUCUUCCUCUGAAUGGCUUUCCACAGCAUGGGAGAGAUGGUCUUGGUGGAGAGAAGGGUCCUCCUCCUCUUGCCUCCAAUGAGGUGCAGUAGGUACUUGGGAGAAGAUUGAGAGAAGAAUGUGUUUAAAAUGGUGUUUACGUCUCAGGAGCUACAGUAAGAAAAAGGGUUAUAAGUGAAAGAUAAAGCCCCCAGUAUUUGCACCCCAGUCAGUCAAAAAUCCAAUUUGCUGGAGAGCAUGAAGGAAUCAGAGUUCUGACAGAUGGAAGGAAGAGAAACACUGUUCCCCAUGGACAGACUCAAGUGGCCUCAUUAUUGGAGUAAUGUAUAGUUGCAUCUAGCAAAUCUAGACUAGUAUUCAUUCCUAGUCUGCAGAUUUUUCAGUAAUGCUCUGAACUGCACAGUGAAUAUAAAAGUAUUCUUCUAGACUACAUCUACAUGACUGCUGGGCUUUUUGUAAAUAUUUUGGAAAGAAGCACAGACACCCUUUGCCUCACAAUGUCAGGAACUGCAAGGGGAAAACAACCAGAAGCAAGAAGGAGGCCCCGCUACCUACUGUAAUGCCAUGGCAGGCUGGCAAGGAAAUUAAGGUCAAGGCAGCAGAAACUGAGAGCUCCAGCAACUCUGCACACAGCAGGCAGCGCUACAUCAGCCCAAACAUAGAUUUCCUUUCUAGAAUGACAAAACAUUGGAAUGGUGGCAAACAGAAACCUGGGCAGAACUGUUAUACAUGUCAUGGUAUCUUGAGCAAUGAAUUCUUUCUGUUAAUAUUAACUGCAAGGUGCGGCUGA
RNAcentral lists this long non-coding RNA (1154 nucleotides) under Anas platyrhynchos platyrhynchos (common mallard). Its description in RNAcentral is "lncRNA (ENSAPLG00000021860.1)". Lineage: Eukaryota; Metazoa; Chordata; Aves; Anseriformes; Anatidae. The record is from RNAcentral.